This 73-nucleotide transfer RNA is filed under the name Camelus bactrianus (Bactrian camel). It matches the Rfam family "tRNA". Rfam says of the family: Transfer RNA (tRNA) molecules are approximately 80 nucleotides in length. The record is from Rfam by way of RNAcentral. Lineage: Eukaryota; Metazoa; Chordata; Mammalia; Artiodactyla; Camelidae. RNAcentral also lists the same sequence under 1 other name.
GAGUGUAUAGCUCAAGUGGUAGAGCCCAUGCUUAGCAUGCACAAGGUCCUGGGUUCAAUCCCCAGUACCUCCA